UACGGGGGGGGCAAGCGUUGUUCGGAAUUACUGGGCGUAAAGGGCGCGUAGGCGGGUGGACAAGUCUCUCGUGAAAGCCCACGGCUCAACCGUGGAAUUGCGGGAGAUACUGUCUGUCUUGAGUCCGGGAGAGGAGGGUGGAAUUCCCAGUGUAGCGGUGAAAUGCGUAGAUAUUGGGAGGAACACCGGUGGCGAAGGUGGCUCUCGGGACCGGUAUUGACGAUGAGGCGCGAAAGCUAGGGGAGCAAACGGG
This 253-nucleotide ribosomal RNA is filed under the name uncultured bacterium. RNAcentral describes it as "partial 16S ribosomal RNA". It matches the Rfam family "Bacterial small subunit ribosomal RNA", at positions 524 to 776 of the family's 1533-position model. The record is from RNAcentral.